Molecule: ribosomal RNA, 301 nt
Filed under: uncultured bacterium
Lineage: Bacteria
Description: partial 16S ribosomal RNA
Rfam family: Bacterial small subunit ribosomal RNA
Source: RNAcentral
CAGUAGCCGCGGGAAUACAGAGGGUGCGAGCGUUAAUCGGAUUUACUGGGCGUAAAGCGUGCGUAGGCGGCUUCUUAAGUCGGAUGUGAAAUCCCUGAGCUUAACUUAGGAAUUGCAUUCGAUACUGGGAAGCUAGAGUAUGGGAGAGGAUGGUAGAAUUCCAGGUGUAGCGGUGAAAUGCGUAGAGAUCUGGAGGAAUACCGAUGGCGAAGGCAGCCAUCUGGCCUAAUACUGACGCUGAGGUACGAAAGCAUGGGGAGCAAACAGGAUUAGAUACCCGCGUAGUCCCUGUCUCUUAUCC